Lactuca sativa (garden lettuce) is the source of this 661-nucleotide long non-coding RNA. RefSeq lists it as uncharacterized. Lineage: Eukaryota; Viridiplantae; Streptophyta; Magnoliopsida; Asterales; Asteraceae. The record is from RefSeq and is a predicted model, not a curated record.
CCUCAUUUUACACUGCUAUAAGGUAAUAAGCUAUAAGUUAAAAAGUUAAAAAACUAUUUUAAUAAGAUUUGCCAAACACCCUCUAGCCCUCUGUUUACCAUAGUUUUGUCUAUCUAACUUUCCACCGGCGAUUCUUGUGUUCUUCAGGGAGGUUGAAGGUGGAAAUGACGUUCAAUUAAUUAGUGGGUUCGGUGGUAGUGUAGGAAGAUUAUCUUUGGAAAAUGGGUUUUCGUCUGGGAGUUCUUCUGGUGAUUGAAAUCAGUUACUCGAGGGUGAAAAUCUCGAUAAAUUGAUUGAUAGAACCAUUAACACCACCAUUGUUUUUGCUGCUGGUACUUUCAGUAUUACCAAAUUGCUCACCAUUGAUUACGAUUAUUGGCAUGAAAAUUAUAAAUGAAAGAUAUGGAGAAGGUUUAAAAGAGGGUGGAGAUGUUCGUGAUCGCAUUGAUUCGGAGGCAAUAGAGGCAAUUGCUGAUGGGUUUAGAUGCAAAAAAUAUGGGCAGAAACUUGUGAAGGCAAUCCUUAUCCCAGGUUUAAUAAUAUAAAAUUAUAUUAAAAAAUAUAUUAAUUAUACUUAAAAUGUGGAUAUUAAGUCUAGUAUGAGAAGAUAUUAUGUAGAAGCUAUUAUAGUUGCAAUGUGAGGAAACAUGUGGAAAGAGCA